This 24-nucleotide unclassified non-coding RNA is filed under the name Mus musculus (house mouse). RNAcentral's name for it is "oocyte_clustered_small_RNA13560". The record is from RNAcentral. Lineage: Eukaryota; Metazoa; Chordata; Mammalia; Rodentia; Muridae.
UAGGCAGGUCUACUCUUGGCAUCC